This 447-nucleotide ribosomal RNA is filed under the name uncultured marine bacterium. RNAcentral describes it as "bacterial SSU rRNA". It matches the Rfam family "Bacterial small subunit ribosomal RNA", at positions 360 to 804 of the family's 1533-position model. The record is from RNAcentral.
AAUAUUGGACAAUGGUCGGAAGACUGAUCCAGCCAUGCCGCGUGCAGGAAGACUGCCCUAUGGGUUGUAAACUGCUUUUAUAUGGGAAGAAUAAGGUCUACGUGUAGACUGAUGACGGUACCAUAAGAAUAAGCACCGGCUAACUCCGUGCCAGCAGCCGCGGUAAUACGGAGGGUGCAAGCGUUAUCCGGAAUCAUUGGGUUUAAAGGGUCCGUAGGCGGGUUUAUAAGUCAGUGGUGAAAGUCUGCAGCUUAACUGUAGAACUGCCAUUGAUACUGUAGAUCUUGAAUUAUUGUGAAGUGGUUAGAAUAUGUAGUGUAGCGGUGAAAUGCUUAGAGAUUACAUAGAAUACCGAUUGCGAAGGCAGAUCACUAACAAUAUAUUGACGCCGAUGGACGAAAGCGUAGGUAGCGAACAGGAUUAGAUACCCUGGUAGUCUACGCCGUA